GCGGUUGUGCUGGAAUUGGCAGACAGGCAUGGUUGAGGGCCAUGUGUCGCAAGACGUGAGGGUUCAAGUCCCUCCAACCGCACCA
Molecule: transfer RNA, 85 nt
Filed under: Chloroflexota bacterium
Lineage: Bacteria; Bacillati; Chloroflexota
Description: Chloroflexi bacterium (groundwater metagenome) tRNA-Leu
Rfam family: tRNA
About the family: Transfer RNA (tRNA) molecules are approximately 80 nucleotides in length. Their secondary structure includes four short double-helical elements and three loops (D, anti-codon, and T loops).
Source: RNAcentral